Long non-coding RNA from Saccostrea echinata, 1404 nucleotides. RefSeq lists it as uncharacterized. The record is from RefSeq and is a predicted model, not a curated record. The transcript is spliced from 2 exons. NCBI's taxonomy places the organism in Eukaryota, Metazoa, Mollusca, Bivalvia, Ostreida, Ostreidae.
UAUUUUUAUAAAACUAUUAUGUACUUGAAUUUUUUUUAAUCUAAUUUAUUUGAAAAUUUAACUACUAUAACAUCCUGCUAAGCACUGCCACGGGGGUAGUGUUACGAAAAAGAUCAUUAAUUUGCUUUCUUUUUUUAUUCAAAUUAAUUAACUCCACCAUGUUCGGUUAAUCACUUUCGCAAGAAAGAUCCUUUUCUGAGAAAGGAAAUGCAUAUAUAGACGUCGCUGGUCGUGAAAUGUGUUGUUACCUUGUAAACAAAUCGUAAAACAUUAUCCCUAAAGCUGGAGCCUUAGAAAGCAUUAACGCCCAAGUCUCGAACAUGAACAGGAAUUGGAUGUUGUGUGUUUGCUUUCUCUUUGCAGGAGUUUUCCUGGAAAAAUGUGAAUGUCUUAAUGUUCCUAAAUUCAUUACUUCACAUCCAAGACUUGGAACAACAAAUGAUAAAGCGCAUUCUUUGAAAACAGCUAUUCUUUUUCAUUAUAUUAACUACUUUGGAGCGUGAAAACCCGAAAAGAUGCACACAAUGGAGGUCAAAAUAUGUUUUGCGUGCAUUGACGCUGCGUGCGCUCUUAUUGGCGAGAGACCGAGAGACAGGAAAAGUGCGAAGAAGAACAAGUUGACAAAGCUCUGUUACCUGGCCCACAAGGGGAAGGAUGUUACAAGAUGGUUCACAAUCGCAAGUCAAAUAGCCGAGGUCCUUUGUGCCGCUUGUUCCGAUUUAGUGACUGACGAGGAAAAAACAGUUUGUGAAAAGAAAAUGUGUCAGUGAAUAUUCUACACAAACAAGGCCGUGAUCGCGAAACCCGUCCAACCACAUGAAAUCUUCGUCUUAUUAAUUGAUCACCAGCGAAAAUGGGAAUUAUCUAUGCCACAUACAUUUUUAACAAUUGAACAUGUUCAAUAAUUCAGCAGGUUUUAUAAUCAUUACUGUGUCAGGAAGGGCGAUGUUCUUUUGGGUAGUUUCGAUCUUAUUAAUAAGAGCACUGACAUUUACUUUACAAUGUAUUAGAAACGUGUACGUGUUUGUACCUUCUAGAGAUGCUGUAGUUACUCCGAAAAAUCUCUCUUUUAUUGGAAGAAUGUGGUUGACUAGGAUAAAAAAUUAAACAUUUAGAGAUAAAAUGUAUUAAACAGUAUAGAUAUGCACAUGUAUGUAAUAAUUAAACAUAGAUAUGUACUUGUGAGUGAUGUGGUAGAGUAGCACUGAAUGUAAUCAAUAUUUGUAUAAUCUAUAAAAUGUCAAAUAAAUUGCAAUAAAUAUUAAUAAAUAUACACGUUGAUUAUGUUUCAGAGCAUAUAGAUUUUAGUGGUACUUGUGAUGUGGUAGAGCAGCACUGAAUGUAAUCAAUUUUUGUAUAAUCUAUAAAAUGUCAAAUAAAUUGCAAUAAAUAUUAAUAAAUAUA